GGGGAAUAUUGGACAAUGGGGGGAACCCUGAUCCAGCCAUGCCGCGUGUGUGAAGAAGGCCUUUUGGUUGUAAAGCACUUUAAGCGAGGAGGAGGCUCUUCUAGUUAAUACCUAGGAUGAGUGGACGUUACUCGCAGAAUAAGCACCGGCUAACUCUGUGCCAGCAGCCGCGGUAAUACAGAGGGUGCGAGCGUUAAUCGGAUUUACUGGGCGUAAAGCGUACGUAGGCGGCUUUUUAAGUCGGAUGUGAAAUCCCUGAGCUUAACUUAGGAAUUGCAUUCGAUACUGGGAAGCUAGAGUAUGGGAGAGGAUGGUAGAAUUCCAGGUGUAGCGGUGAAAUGCGUAGAGAUCUGGAGGAAUACCGAUGGCGAAGGCAGCCAUCUGGCCUAAUACUGACGCUGAGGUACGAAAGCAUGGGGAACAAAC
RNAcentral lists this ribosomal RNA (426 nucleotides) under uncultured bacterium. Its description in RNAcentral is "bacterial SSU rRNA". It matches the Rfam family "Bacterial small subunit ribosomal RNA", at positions 356 to 773 of the family's 1533-position model. The record is from RNAcentral.